UACGUAGGCAGCGAGCGUUGUUCGGAGUUACUGGGCGUAAAGGGUGUGUAGGCGGUUGCUUAAGUUUGGUGUGAAAUCUCCCGGCUCAACUGGGAGGGUGCGCCGAAUACUGAGUGACUCGAGUGCGGGAGAGGAGAGUGGAAUUCCUGGUGUAGCGGUGGAAUGCGUAGAUAUCAGGAGGAACACCGGUGGUGUAGACGGCUCUCUGGACCGUAACUGACGCUGAGACACGAAAGCGUGGGUAGCAAACAGG
This 253-nucleotide ribosomal RNA is filed under the name uncultured bacterium. RNAcentral describes it as "partial 16S ribosomal RNA". It matches the Rfam family "Bacterial small subunit ribosomal RNA", at positions 524 to 776 of the family's 1533-position model. The record is from RNAcentral.